AAAUGCGAUAAGUAAUGUGAAUUGCAGAAUUCAGUGAAUCAUCGAAUCUUUGAACGCACAUUGCGCUCGCCAGUAUUCUGGCGAGCAUGCCUGUUCGAGCGUCAUUUCAACCAUCAAGCUCUGCUUGCGUUGGGGAUCCGCGGCUGUCCGCGGUCCCUCAAAAACAGUGGCGGGCUCGCUAGUCACACCGAGCGUAGUAACUCUACAUCGCUAUGGUCGUGCGGCGGGUUCUUGCCGUAAAACCCCCAAUUUCUAAGGUUGACCUCGGAUCAGGUAGGAAUACCCGCUGAACUUAAGC
Molecule: unclassified non-coding RNA, 298 nt
Filed under: plant metagenome
Description: partial contains 5.8S ribosomal RNA, internal transcribed spacer 2, and large subunit ribosomal RNA
Rfam family: 5.8S ribosomal RNA (bases 1-104)
Source: RNAcentral